AGCAGCCGCACGGUAAUACGUAGGGUGCAAGCGUUAAUCGGAAUUACUGGGCGUAAAGCGUGCGCAGGCGGUUAUAUAAGACAGAUGUGAAAUCCCCGGGCUCAACCUGGGAACUGCAUUUGUGACUGUAUAGCUAGAGUACGGCAGAGGGGGAUGGAAUUCCGCGUGUAGCAGUGAAAUGCGUAGAUAUGCGGAGGAACACCGAUGGCGAAGGCAAUCCCCUGGGCCUGUACUGACGCUCAUGCACGAAAGCGUGGGGAGCAAACAGGAUUAGAUACCCCCGUAGUCCCUGUCUCUUAUACA
This 303-nucleotide ribosomal RNA is filed under the name uncultured bacterium. RNAcentral's name for it is "partial 16S ribosomal RNA". It matches the Rfam family "Bacterial small subunit ribosomal RNA", at positions 510 to 808 of the family's 1533-position model. The record is from RNAcentral.